This 436-nucleotide ribosomal RNA is filed under the name uncultured bacterium. Its description in RNAcentral is "bacterial SSU rRNA". It matches the Rfam family "Bacterial small subunit ribosomal RNA", at positions 8 to 443 of the family's 1533-position model. The record is from RNAcentral.
AGAGUUUGAUCCUGGCUCAGAGUGAACGCUGGCGGCAUGCCUAACACAUGCAAGUCGAACGGUAACAGGCCCGCAAGGGUGCUGACGAGUGGCGGACGGGUGAGGAAUACAUCGGAAUUUGCCCAAUCCGUGGGGGAUAACGUAGGGAAACUUACGCUAAUACCGCAUACGACGGUGACGUGAAAGCGGGGGAUCAGCAAUGACCUCGCGCGGAUGGAUAAGCCGAUGUCGGAUUAGCUAGUAGGCGGGGUAAAGGCCCACCAAGGCGACGAUCCGUAGCUGGUCUGAGAGGAUGAUCAGCCACACUCCAACUGAGACACGGCCCAGACUCCUACGGGAGGCAGCAGUGGGGAAUAUUGGACAAUGGGGGCAACCCUGAUCCAGCAAUGCCGCGUGUGUGAAGAAGGCCUUCGGGUUGUAAAGCACUAGUAUCGGG